AUUUUUAUUAAGAUGACAAAAUUUCUGGUUCGGAUUAAAUAGCUUACCACAUCAUUACUUUCUAAAAUAACUUGGUUUUUAGUGUACAAUUUUAAAAAUCCAAUAACAAUUUACAACAGAACUAUUAUAGUUAAGUACAUGAUAAUUAAAUUUGAAAUAAUUAUUUGGUAUUCAAACCAAAUAUUUUUCACCUUUCUGAAAUAGUAACAAUGUUUUAUAUCGAACAAUUCUCAUCUCUAAGAUAAAAUUUUC
Molecule: non-coding RNA, 252 nt
Organism: Cinara cedri
Lineage: Eukaryota; Metazoa; Arthropoda; Insecta; Hemiptera; Aphididae
Source: the annotation of a GenBank genome assembly